CGCUCUGGUGGCCUAGUGGUUAGGGCGUCCGCCUCAGAUGCGGACGAUCGUGGGUACGAACCCCGGCCGAGUCA
Non-coding RNA from Potamilus streckersoni, 74 nucleotides. NCBI's taxonomy places the organism in Eukaryota, Metazoa, Mollusca, Bivalvia, Unionida, Unionidae. The record is from the annotation of a GenBank genome assembly.